AGUCCCUAGCCGGGCGCAGGCCUGGAGCGGGGGAGGCUCAGGAUGGAAGCGUGCGCCCCUGACCUUGAAUGGCCCGAAGCCCAGAAUUCCUACCACGCCCCUGGCGUCCGCGAAGGAGCAGCUAACCUGACCGUACCUGCUCCGGGCCAGGUGGGGGCGGGGGGGUUGAGGCCAGCAGCCUGGCAGAGCGCUGAGGAGGCAGCGUCGAGGCUCCUGCGCGGGAUAAGCCGAGGUUGCCACCGCAGGCCUGGCACGACCAGGGCCCGGAUGCCCCGCCCGGCCCGGCCCCCGCGCGCACAGGUACCUGAGACGAUUUCAACUGAAGUAAUGAAGGCAGUGUCGUGCUGUCGAGAGAAAGGUGGAUCCCAACAACAGGAAACUACCUAAAUCACCGACCAGUUCUGGUGCUGCCCGCGCGGAGCUGCCUCGCCCGCCGCCGCCGCCGUUACUGCCGCCGCCGCCGCCAAAGGAGAACCCUGUGAUCGCGCCCGGCCCCUCGCCAACCUGCGCCCGCCGCUGUCACUGUGUGUUCCGGGCUGCCGCUAAGGCAUCACGGAAGGAGAAGCCACCGGCCCCGGUUUGACCCUUUUAUGCAUGUAACUUCACAGUAUAAAGGAAACCCAACAGUGUCUCCCUUCUCUAGUCUAUUCCGCUUGCCCCAGCCCUCCUUGGCUUCCGUGAAUUUUAGAAAGAAAAAAAAAGAAAAGAAAAGAAAAAAGGGAAAAACGAGGAAAAAAACCUCCACAAGAUAGAGAGAAUUAUGGUGUGCUUGUUGUGUUACCAGUGGUAACAAUUAUUUAAUGACAAAAAAUCCACUAAAUCUGCAGGUAUAAACAAAACAACAUAUGAUUAUUUAUCUACAGCCAGAAGGGCAUGGAAAUUCAGAGUGAAGUAAUUUAGUUCCACAAUGCGAGACCUUACACAAACUGGAAGAGAAGUUUCCUUCUCCUGGUCAUUCUUUUCUUCCUUUAAAGCUGGGAUAUCUUACAGAGGAAGGAAAAAUUAAUCUUUCUGACUUUCUCAGUUUUGCCAAUCAGCCCACGUCAAGCCCUUUUACCAACCUGCGUGUCCAUGCCUGCAAGCCCUUCUCUUUGCCAAGGAAGAAAGGAAGAAAGAAAAAAGAGACCCAGGGGCCUGUAUCCCCUGAUUAAACACAGCCCAGCACUCCAGGCAGGCAAGCCCGGUGGCAGCUCCUUGCACCAUUGACCUCAGGCCAGACACCUCAGCUGCCUACAAUGCGACCUCCGCCUUCCGGCUAGGUUUGCCGGCCCUGCAGGAAACCAGCUCGACCAGGAGGACAGAGGCCAUUUCAAGCAGUGGAACCCCAAGACAGCAAACCAUCCCUGUCGCCGCUUUACAUUUAGGACAAUAUCUCUGUAUAUAGAAUUUUAGCGCUAUAUGGCUUUUUCCCCCAGAAAACAACAAAUAAACCAGCACCAAGCAAACAGAAAAAGAAACAAAAAGUCAGAACAAACCAGCCCUGCACAGAUGUAACAGCCAGCGAGAUGGUGAGUGUGGGAGGGAGGAAUGGGGCUCCGGCACAGGUGCGAGUUCCUGGGCAGAGCCGAAGACAGAGGGGGCAGAACGGCCCUCUGGAAGCGAAAAGAACCGCAUUGCCUGGAGCUUCAUCAGGAAAAAUUAAAGUUGGCUGUGAGCUCCCGGA
Molecule: long non-coding RNA, 1663 nt
Organism: Aethalodelphis obliquidens (Pacific white-sided dolphin)
Lineage: Eukaryota; Metazoa; Chordata; Mammalia; Artiodactyla; Delphinidae
Exons: 2
Source: RefSeq, a predicted model, not a curated record